UACGUAGGGGGCAAGCGUUGUCCGGAUUUAUUGGGCGUAAAGAGCGUGUAGGCGGUUAGGUAGGUCCGUUGUGAAAGCCCUGGGCUCAACCUGGGAAUGGCAGUGGAUACUGGGAAGCUAGAGUGCGGUAGAGGAUAGUGGAAUUCCCGGUGUAGCGGUGAAAUGCGUAGAGAUCGGGAGGAACAUCAGUGGCGAAGGCGGCCAUCUGGACCAGCACUGACACUGAGGCACGAAAGCGUGGGGAGCAAACAGG
Molecule: ribosomal RNA, 253 nt
Filed under: uncultured bacterium
Lineage: Bacteria
Description: partial 16S ribosomal RNA
Rfam family: Bacterial small subunit ribosomal RNA
Source: RNAcentral